This 275-nucleotide long non-coding RNA is filed under the name Panax ginseng (ginseng). Its description in RNAcentral is "long non-coding RNA (PGIN_LNC003226)". Lineage: Eukaryota; Viridiplantae; Streptophyta; Magnoliopsida; Apiales; Araliaceae. The record is from RNAcentral.
UGGGUUGAAGGGAUUGAGCUUUCUGGGUGAAGAAAAUGGUGGGAAUUCUUGGGUUUGGAAGGUGAAAUCGGGUCUGAAUUGCAUUGAUUUGAGAGAGAGGGGAGUGAUUUUAAGGAAAACAAAUUUGUGGGUUUUGAAGAGGUUUGUAAAGGGUGUCUGGAGAGGAAUUUAUAGAGAGAGAUUGAUGAACGAUUAUGCAUUUUGAAGUAGGGAGAGAGAUAAAGGAACUGAAAUUUUAACUGUUUACUCGAAAGAAGAAGGAGGCGGUUCUAUGG